This 924-nucleotide ribosomal RNA is filed under the name Trathala flavoorbitalis. RNAcentral describes it as "bacterial SSU rRNA". It matches the Rfam family "Eukaryotic small subunit ribosomal RNA", at positions 48 to 904 of the family's 1831-position model. Lineage: Eukaryota; Metazoa; Arthropoda; Insecta; Hymenoptera; Ichneumonidae. The record is from RNAcentral.
GCCCAGCCUGUCUCAGUACUGACCCCUUCAAGGUAACCCCCCAAGAGGCUCAUUAAAUCCAAAAAGGUUCCCCAGUUCGUCCCCAAAUUUACUUGAAUAACUGGGGUAAUUUUAGAGCUAAUACAUGCAAACCUGACUUCCGACCAGAGAUGGAAGGAACCCUUUUAUUAGAUCAAAACCAUGCGGUUUAUUGUGGCUUUUGCCUCAAAAACCGUUUACGUUGGCGACUCUGAAUAAAUUUGUGCUGAUCGCAUGGUCUCGUACCCGCGACGCAUCUUUCAAAUGUCUGCCUUAUCAACUGUCGAUGGUAGGUUCUGCCCCUACCAUGGUUGUAACGGAUAACGGGGAAUCAGGGUUCGAUUCCCGAGAGGGAGCCUGAGAAACGGCUACCACAUCCAAGGAAGGCAGCAGGAGCGCAGAUUACCCACUCCCGGCACGGGGAGGUAGUGACGAAAAAUAACGAUACGGGACUCAUCCGAGGCCCCGUAAUCGGAAUGAGUACACUUUAAAUCCUUUCACGAGGAUCCCUUGGAGGGCAAGUCUGCUGCCAGCAGCCGCUGAAAUUCCAGCUCCAAUAGCGUAUAUUAAAGUUGUUGCGGUUAAAAAGCUCGUACCCGAAUCUGUGUGUCACGAUGUUGGUUCACCCCUCGCGGUGUUUAACUAGCAUGCCGUGAGACGUCCUACCGGUGGGCUUAGCGCUUCACGGGGCGGUCCAAAUAAUAUCCCAUCGGGGUGCUCUUCAUUGAGUGUCGAGGGGGGCCGGUACGUUUACUUUGAACAAAUUACAGUGGCUAAAGCCCGCCAUCUUCGCCUUAAUAUUUCGGGCACGGAAUAAGGGGAAAGGACCUUGGUUUUAUUUUGGGGGUUUUCGGAACCCCGAAGAAAAAAAUAAUAGGGACAGGGGGGGGCAUUCGUAUUAUCGUC